RNAcentral lists this ribosomal RNA (517 nucleotides) under uncultured Comamonadaceae bacterium. RNAcentral describes it as "bacterial SSU rRNA". It matches the Rfam family "Bacterial small subunit ribosomal RNA", at positions 8 to 526 of the family's 1533-position model. The record is from RNAcentral. Lineage: Bacteria; Pseudomonadati; Pseudomonadota; Betaproteobacteria; Burkholderiales; Comamonadaceae.
AGAGUUUGAUCCUGGCUCAGAUUGAACGCUGGCGGCAUGCCUUACACAUGCAAGUCGAACGGUAGAGGGGCAACCCUUGAGAGUGGCGAACGGGUGAGUAAUGCAUCGGAACGUGCCCAGUCGUGGGGGAUAACGCAGCGAAAGCUGCGCUAAUACCGCAUACGAUCUAUGGAUGAAAGCGGGGGAUCGCAAGACCUCGCGCGAUUGGAGCGGCCGAUAUCAGAUUAGGUAGUUGGUGGGGUAAAAGCCCACCAAGCCGACGAUCUGUAGCUGGUCUGAGAGGACGACCAGCCACACUGGGACUGAGACACGGCCCAGACUCCUACGGGAGGCAGCAGUGGGGAAUUUUGGACAAUGGGCGCAAGCCUGAUCCAGCAAUGCCGCGUGCAGGACGAAGGCCUUCGGGUUGUAAACUGCUUUUGUACGGAGCGAAACGGUCUGGGUUAAUACCCUGGGCUAAUGACGGUACCGUAAGAAUAAGCACCGGCUAACUACGUGCCAGCCGCCGCGGUAAUAC